CUUUUGCAUGCCCCACAAACUUUCAUCUUAAUGUCACACAUUUCUAUUCUAUUUUUUAGUUCUGCAACAAAAAUAAUGUAUAUAAAUUUCAAUUUUGAAAAAGUCUUUUUUGACUUUUAUAAAAGCGUUAAAUAGUAGAUUCUACAAGCUUGGAUAGUUAGCACAUUUAUUAAUAGUAUACAAUUGAUCAAACUGACAAAUGCAUUACAAAUUCUAAUAACUGUUAAGGAAAAGGUAAAAUUUUAUUGGAAAAGCAUCUUUUAAUGGGCUGGGUGGAUUUUUUUUUCCCCCUAACUAGUUCAAGUAUCCUCAGAUGAAUAUUACUUAUUGUUGAAAUGAAACAGGGCUCAGCAUCCUAUUUUUAUGUAUUUCUAGGUAUGAAUGUCUGGAAAAUCUUGUUCACUAAAAAAAAUUGAAAUGGAAAGGGUUUUGUGAUAGCAACAUCAUUCAGUCCUCUGAACUCUUUGAUAUAUGCCAGCAAUACAUAGUGUAAUCUCAUCAAUUUGUUUUAAUAAACGUUUUAUUUUAGAAUAGUGUUAGAUUUACAUAGCGUUACAAAGAUAGUACAGAGAGUUCUUGAAUAUUCCUCACCCAGUUUCCGCACUGUUAACAUCUCACAUAACCGUGGUACACAUGGUCACAACGAGGAAAUCAACACUGGUCCAUUACUGUUAACUUCACCAGUCUAUUUUCUGAAGAUCUAUCAGCUAUUAACUCAAGUAGGUAUUGCUUCAGUUUUGUUGAAAGCACAGGAUUAAGAAAGUCUGUUACGCAGCCUUUCCUGUUCUUGGCUGCUGAAAAGUAUAUCAAAAAUGGCUUCACUAAGAUUUACCAUAUAAUUGUUGAUUAUACCUGUUUCUCUUUCACUCAUCAAAUGUUAAACACUCAAUAGGAAAAUCAAAAUAGUGAUAAUUUGUAAUGUAUAUUUGCCAGUACUAUAUUUCUUGAUAAAAUGCUUUUUCUCUUUAUUUAUAGCAUAACCUUGGAACUUCAGAUUUAGCUCACUAAAUUUAGGAAAAAUGUUUGCCAUAUAACCUAAUUGCUAAAGCAGCCCUUAUUGUUAAAAGCCAUUAGCAAAAUUAGACCUUACUUUUCAUUGUAAGUAAAAAAUGUUAAUAUGCUCAUGUUAAUGUAUUUGAAUCCUAAAUAGGCAAAUGGAUAGGACACAGGCCUUGCCCAGAGUUCAUUCAGAUUUAUCCUUCAGGAAGGCAUGGCCAUCUGUAAUAUUUCUCACCCCUUCUUUCUGGAUUUCCUCCCACUAGACCCUCCCUCAGGAGUGAAGUACUUUUUAUUAAUAAUUUGGGGAAGGGAAAGGUGAGGUGUCUAAAUGAAAACCAAUGUUGUUCUCACUAUCCUUACUCUACAAUUUAUUUGAAUGCAGAAAAUCUCCAAAUUAGCCAAAGUAUCCAUUUCUAAUACAGGCUUUGUCCUUAAUAGAAAUAUGCCAAAAACAUGCAUCCCUACUCCCACAGUGGUGUGCCAUAUUAAUAUUUACUCUGGGAAGUGGGAGGAAGGUAGUUAUGAAAGGAACUCUGGCGUGGAACCUUGACCACAGGUGUAGAUCCUUCUUAGGGCAGAUCAGUUGUAGGAAAAUGUUAGGAAGUAGAGGAUCCGAAAGUUGGUUUCUUAAACUCUCCAUGUCAUGUACCUCUCUCAGAAGAUCCUUGGGAACUCCAGGGCAUACAUAUUUCAGUCUUAAUAAUGCUGAGGAAGAAGCUGAAGACCAAGCCAAGAACCAUGGGUCAAGGGGUCCCCAGGGAGACAGAUGGUUCACCACAGCCACCACAUGCUUCCUUCUCUAACACUGGCUUUAAUGAAGGAGGGUGGAAGCGAGUCUGACCUUCUGGAGUCAGGAAGGUUAGAGGGUUAUAGUCCUUAGUCUGCUUUUUGAGAAUUAGUGACCUAGAACAGUUUUUCUUCUUAAGCUUGAAUAGUAUUACAGACAUCUAGAAAGGAAAGACACUUAAAGAUCCUUAAUUAAGAGACAUUUACUUGGUCUGAAUUUAUGAAAAUGGUUCUAUUCUAAAUGAUCACUGUAAAGUGAAGUUUUACCUUUAAGUGACUGGUUUUUUUUAAGAUCAUAAAGUGAUUAAAAUAUAACUUAACACACGCCAUAGAACUCUUGUACCUCAAAAUGAGUCUGAGCUCCCCCUUGGAGAAAUGCUGAGAACUGGUUGUGGUUUAGUUUCCUGUUUCCCCUUGGGUGUUAUGGGUGAGGCUUGGGAGCUGCUUCUCUGUUAGGAUGCCUGUGUCCAUGUGGCCCACAUUCUGACCCUUCCGUCUGUGCAAGAAGAAGCAGGGUGAAGUCAGUAAGGCAGCCAGCGCCGACAGCACGACCGAGGGCACACCUGCCGACGGCUUCACAGUCCUCUCCACCAAGAGCCUCUUCCUUGGCCAGAAGGUAGGCAGAUGCGCGGCCUCAGUCUACUCGAGGGCCCCAAGGGACAGAUGGGCACAGGCCACCUCCACUGGAAGGCUGGGGGGGUCCCGGGGGCCACUCCCAGCCUCGUGGGUAGACAGAGUGGGCUGUGAGCUUUGGGAGUGGCCUCAGGGAGGGCUAAGUGCUGGGGAGGCCACAAUGCUGAGGGAGGACCCUGGCAGCUGGGGAAGGGAGACAGUAGUAAAAAAGAAGAGGGCAGGAGGCUCCUGUGGGAGAUGGGGACCCUUGGUUAGUCUGGAGGAGGAGCUGCUUCUGUGGGAUAAACUGGUCAUCAGAUAGCACCAGCCAGGGAACUAGGCAGAAGUCAAGCCUUGGUGGUGGAAGGUGAACAACCUAGCCGGCAGCCUGCUUGUCCUGGGGGGCACUAACGGUAGAGCCUCAGGUCUGAUUCAGGGCUCUACAGGGGAUUGUUUUCAGACUGUACUGAUGGGUGCACUGGGUUUCUUCACUGAACCACCAGAUGACUCUUCCAGCUAAUCGUUUGUUUGUUUUAACCAUGGGCAAUAUAUUUUCAGCCGCCCCAGUGAUGCAACUUUGCCAGGACGCCAUGGUUUUGUAAAAGACAAUUCACUUUUAUUGAAAAUAAAAAUGAUGCAAAGGCUUUUAAGACCUGAGAAUGAGAGUUAACUAAUAUUUCUUUAUUGACACCAAAAAAGGGGUGGGAAGAAAGAAUUAAACCCUUCUUAAUUUUUUAAUCCUAUACUUAAAAAAUUAAAGGAAUGAAUUUGACCUUCCAAGUUAAUCUGUGUUUAGUUUGAAUGUGGUAACAAACUUGGAUCUGAAGCUGCAUCAUUUUUAAACCCUCACUGUCAAUUUCUUUUGCAUCACAGUGACACGGUUCCCUCGCUCACGUCAUUGCAAGUUCUCCUCCUACCCCUUUCCCUCGUUCUGUCACUAAUUGCACUCUCUCUCAUGAUGCAAUUCCUGUGGUGGACUCUGUUCCAGAAAAUAACCAUUACUGUUUACAUUUUUAACCAUUCUUUGUAUUUUGUAUGCAUUUUUCAAAAGAAAAAGUAGCACUAGUUGUCAUCUUAAGGUCUGGGGAUUUGAAAGUUUUUGUUUAAAAUACUUUUUGUUCCUUUAAAAAUUUCGACUCAGCAGUGAAGACAACUGCCUGGGUCUACUUUCACCCCUGUAACUUAUUCCUUGGGUAAUGUAUUGAAAGUUAACGUGACCCAUCCACAUUACUUCCGUUUGAAAUACAGGGCAGUUCAGCCCCUGGGGUCACCUUCUCCCUCUUUUCCCCACUCUGCCUUUAGGCACUCCCACCCUGGCCUCUCCCCUCCCUGUGUUCUUGCUACCUCCUGCCAGCCACUCCAAAGGCAGCCUCAGAUCAGAAUUCCUCAUACCUCCCUUGCUGGAUGAACUAAAAUAUUUCCAAAGUAGCAGCAAAUAUGGCUGUAAAAAUGUCCAUGCAAAAUGCAGAUGCCCUUCUUGUUGCUGUGAUCUUCUGAAAGAAAUGGGAUCACAGCCUCCUCUGGGCUCUGUUUGUGAGCCCUGGAGGGGAGGGGGCAAAGGCCACAGACAUCUUGCUAGCUUCUCCCAAGAGCCAGGAACAUGUCAGCUCUCAGCAACUCAACUCUUCCUUUUCAGAUACACCUGCUCUCAGGGCCAGGCAUCACACGAAUAAAAAUAAAGUACAGCAGAGUAAAAUUUUGGCUAAUAAUGACUGUUCCCUACUCAGAGUUGGUAGGGUGAGGAUAUAAAAAGCCAUAGAAAAGUAUCGAUAGUCUAUAAUAAAUUACAAACAUAUCAUUUAAUGUUAUUUUAAAAAAUGGAGAAUGAAAGCAGUGAGCUUAGCUUAACAGUGAAAUUAAUGUGCUUAUCUUAACUUUUGGAAGGAAAAUUUGAAAGGAAUGGUUAAGCUGCAACCCAGUAUAAAAUGGUCAGCCAUAAGAGGGGCUGAAUGUAGACCCAGACAGACCACCUAGCCUUCUUUCCCAUAUCACCGCCUUUUCAGUGGUGAAAACAAAACACCAGGCUACCAAGAAACUGCCCGUCCUGUUUAAUGUGCUUGCGACUUUAUGACCCAAGAUUCACAUAUCCAGGAAGAGGUGCCCAAAAAUCUAGUGCUGCAGACACUGUUUAGCAGAAUAAACUCCAUGUUUCCAAAAUAAAGCAGCAUCUUAAGUCAGCCUAAGCACCAGUGUUAGAAACUAGGGUUCCAACUGCCCUUUCUGGAAUCCUACACCCCUGCAGCAUGAGAUGGAGUGAGCGUUGAUACAUUAGAGCAUUAUUUUGAAGCAUUACUUUCUGGCUUUUUAUUGGCUAUUACUGUCAGAUGAAAAUCAUGGCAUAUAGUGUAAAAAAGGCAAAUCAUGAAACUAACACAGUUUUUACAAAAGCACAUUUAAAAUGUUAUAGACAUUAAUUUUGACUUGGAUUUUAGGAAAUGUUUCAAAAGGGGUACUUUAGAAUGGUGACUAUAUGGUACCCUGUGUCCUAUGAAUCUCAUUUUUCUAUCUGUGACAUUGAAACCAGUGCUUGAAGAUUGCAAGCAAGCUGGGGUGGAGAAAGGUGAUAUUGUGCAUGCUACAGCCCUGUAAGGCAUGGUUGCUCAGCUACUCAGGAAGCAUGGCCCAGGCUUAGGAGCCUGACCAUUGAUGUUAAUGAUGUAUUUCACAUACUGAAGUCUCAGGAGUCAUCAUAGCCAUUACUCCCUGAUUUUGCCCAGUAUUCACACAUAUUGUUGAAUUGUUUUAAAAAAGAAAUCAGUGCUGUGAAUCUGAGUCAACUAAAUGCUUUUGCUUUGUGUUCAGCCAAGAUUUGCAGCCUUUUUUCAGAGGUUUUAAAAUUUUCAGAAAAAACAUUUCUAAUGUGUCUAAUGUGUCAGUGGUAGUAAAUGAUUUAAGUUUUCUUGGUAGAGUCAGUAUUAUUUGAAGGAGUUGGGAAGGCAUUCUGAGGCUGUGAUGAGUCUCCUUACCUCCCAAAUGAUCAAGAUGGCAACCCCAGCUCGCAGUCCAUUCAAGGCAGGCAUAACGUACCAUGGGUUUUCUCCCUUUGAUCCACAUACCCUUCUCCUGGGGGCUGGAAGAACUGUGAGGAGAAAGGGAGCUCUUGAAGUUGAAGCAUCAGUGAGGGAGAAAAACCAUUCACCCCUUUCCCCCACUAUGGCUGAGGACUGGCUUCUGACACAGUUUAGGAAACUGACAAAGCCAUGAAGGAAUGGCUCAGCUAUCGGCCAUCUGGACAUCCAGCCGUAUCUAUCCAUGUCCUUAUCUUUGUGGGGCUCUUCCUAGCUGGACACACUAGAUUCUGCUGCCAGGCCCAAGGCCUCUGGAGAAAUCCAGGUUGGGCAUGCAUGCAUGCAUGCAGGGAGAGCCAGACAGCACAGCUGUGAAGGCAGGAGCCAGCCCUGGAGUGUGCCCCAGGGAAGACACAGCUCUCAGGAGGAGACUGGAAAGGGUCCUAUGGAAGACAUUGCCCUUCCCAUUAAACUCGUUGAAGUGAACUUUGGGGACAGGAAAAUAACUGCAUUUUAGGUGGUCAGCCAGGCUUCCUUCCUUGUCUGUUAUGAGAAAAUGAGAGACACCAGAAUCUGACAGUUACAGGCUAGAUUUAACAUACUACUCAGGCACUAUUUUAACAGUCACUUUCAUUAACUAAAAUUGGGUUUCUAAUCAUAUUUUUUUAAAAGAACCAAGAAGGAAUGUACUAUUUCCUGUAGCCAAGUAGGUCAGGUCAGGCAGUCUGCAUGUCCAUCCAGACACUCCUUCCCUGUCGUCAUCGACAGACUGCCUCCUACCCUGCCCUAAAUGGUGGGGGCCAGCCUCCCAUCCAGGCGAGGACAGCUUGGCUCUGAGCUGCCUCAGAUACAAGCCAGGCCCAGGGCUCAAUUUCUGAGCUCUGACAUUUCCAUUAACCAUGCCUUAAAGGAAAGCAGGCAGGGGCAGUCAUUUUAUCUGAGUUAUAUCUGAGGAUGUUUGAUGUUCAGUUGUAACUCUACAUGCCCAGGGGAACCCCAGCACUGGCUUAGGCACUGUGCAGCACUCAGGGUUAGGGGGCCACACCCACUCUUGCCUUCAAAGAGAUUAUACUCUGAUGAGCAUAUACCAUGAGUAAAGAACAAGGGUUUCCACGGACAUCCUCACCACAGGGAAGACUCGGGUACUGCUUGUAUCAGAAGCUGGCCCAGCAGAGCCAGUGAGGUUAGGAUCAUCAGAUCCCAGUGCUGGAAGGGAUCUUGAAGGUCCCUUGGCUACGACCCUGUCUGCCAACUGCGCAGCCACGCAGGACCCCCUCCUGCUCUAUAACUGGCAGUGCCCUAUGGUUACUUUCCUCAGUGGCUAACCGUCUUCAUAGCUGCUUUAAAUUCCUCAUGCUGUGGUUUAAAACUUAGUUUUCCAUCUUUCCUGACGAUGGUACAAAGAAGCAGUCACCUUAUUCAAAUUCUGAAACUAUUAAUGAUCCUUAUUCCUCCCAGAAAAUAAGACUAAUUUUGGGAAUUUUUACAGUUCCCAGAAAUCUGAUUUCCUAACCCACAAGGACCACUUCUCUGCCAUGUACUUCAGAUGGACACACACCCCUCUGGCUGAUAAACCCCACUGGAUCUGACCCUGGCUGGUGGGAGGGGACCCUGGGGCCUCCUAGGACUGGACCUCUGUCUUGGCUCUAUCUCGCUUAUUCAUUUGUGACUGGACAGUGGGAGCCUGUCAAGACACAUGUGUACCUGGUCCAUCUGCACGCUAUGCUCAUGGGCUUUCUUCUGUAUAGUGGAGCUACUGUCUUCGUUCAUGAUCAUCUCACUGUUGGCUUCUGCCCACUGGCCCACCUGCCAAGCUGAUUACCCAUUUGUCCUUCCAAAGUACUUGAAUUAAUUUGUCUUCUCCCCUUCCCAUUCUCUUCCCCUGAUGCACACAUCCCAAGCACACACUUUCUAGUCAAGAUUGUUUAAAAAUACAUAUUUGUACACAUUUUAUAGCAACAAAACUUUUGUGGCUCAGCCGCAUACCCUGAGGACUUCUGCUGAGCCCCAGUGCAUAGCAGAGCAUAGUUGGAAAAUCACAACUCUAGCCUCAUCCACAGAUGUGAAGAGUGAAACAGCACUUGGUUGGCAGGAAAUCCUCAAUGCUGAGUAGUAGUGGCUCCCUGAGGUACUGUAGUCUGCACUUCCAAGAGUGGGGAUGCCUGUGGUCAGAAGGGAAGGUAGUGAGUCCAAAGGAAGCUGGGAAUUCUCCAUGAGCUUGAGUUCUGUUCACAACUGCUCCCUUCCUUCAGCAAAUCCAAGUUUCCCCCAGAGAAUCCCAUUCCCCUAGACAGAGCAGGUGGUUCUCCCCAGAAGAGAGUCAGAUACAGGCCACUGAGGGGGUCUUCCUGGCUAGCUGAAGCAGAGCCCGCCAAAAUAGCUACUUUUCCAAUGAAGCUUUUCUGAAUAUAACACCAGAAGCAUCUAUACAAUUGGAAAAAAUUGUGUGAAUUUUAAGGAUUGAACAUGUAUUGUUUUAAACAUAGGAAUUUAUAGAUGCCUUAAAAGCAUACACAUCCACAUUACACUGAGUAGAUCGAGUCUUUUUCUCCUUUGCCUGCCUUCCUCACCAACCUCCUGCCUCUUCACACUGUGUGGCGUGUGUUUUGGUGGUGUGUGGUGGGGAGUAUUGGCUUGAGUUUUUAUAAAUAGCAUUUGCUUGGAGCCAAAUGCAGAACUAAAUAAUAGAGUAAAAUCCUUUGCCUUGUUCUAAAUCCUGAGAGUUCACUUGCCUUACCCUAAGGCCCCCCACUCUGUGCCCGCCCACACCCCUCCUCCCCGGUGGCAGCAGUCAGGCCGCAGCCCCCAGGCUGUCUCUUUUCUGUGCCUCUGUCCUGGUGCCAGGGCUCUGAGCUGCUGAGAGCUUCGCUUUGUGAGAUCACCCCCAUGGCUUCCUUCAGCUUCAAGGGUGUGGGUGGCCUCUAAAUCACUCUAUAGUGCGAGGAGCAAUAACCCAGAAAGUCCAUAUGACUAAUACUUGGUCCUCUUCUCUGAGUCUUUAACCAAAAAUGAAGUCCACUGCCCUGGCCAGAAUUCUUCCUUGGCUGUUUGACAAAACUUAAUUCCACAACUGUUUCCUCCCAGAGGAUGACUCUUAGUGUAAGCACAUCCCUCUUUGAGAAUCUGACUGUUUCUGGGACUCAAAAAUGGGGGUUUAUAUUUCCGAUGCUUCUGGAGUGCCAGGUUGUUUGGUUUUGUUUUCAACAAAAUGUUUGGCCCUAGAAAUGCAGCAACUUGCCCUGUUGCCAGGAGCUUCCUUGCCAAGUGUCUUGUGCACAGCCCUCUCCUGGGUGAGCUCCUGGACAAAGCUCCAUGCCCUGGUAAACCCUGCAGACUGCAGCCACUAUUCUGGCCUAGGUCAUAGUCUUGAGCACCAGCUCUGCUAGGGCUACUCAGGCAUUGCACUUGUCUGCAGGUGUUAGGAAUUUAUGUUACGGAAGAGUGAGCAAUGUCGUUGUGAGAGCAUGUGCAAGAGCAAGCUUUCCUGCAGGUGCUCGUACCUAAAGAAAAGCAAGGGGAAUAGCAGGACCCGGGACAGCAGUCCUAGGCCCAUUAAUUCCCCUUGCCCCUCUGACAGAAUUUCGAACUCAGGAUUCUUCGAAUACUCAGAUGCCAGGGUUGCCAUUGUAACAGAGUAACAGUGGCUGGGGGACACCCAUUCAGUGGCUCUUCAGAAAGAACAAAUUCACUGGGUGGAUAUAACACUUAAGGAAAAUGCUCAAUAAGCCACCCAUUGAGUCUCAGAGCAACCUGACCAACAAGGUGAAAACCAUUUAAAAGACACAUUGUCUUGCUGGAGAACCUUCCUCCCCUGGGUUUCACCAGGGAACUUCAGCAUUACAUGACUAAUGGGCACGUAAAUUAGAUGUUACUAAGCAACAGACUAUUCUCACUUCUUGCCACCCUGAGCAGGGCAGGGAGGCCAGCCAGCAGUCACAGUGAUGGGGACAGCCUUAAAGGCCCAUAGUCACUUGGAAGACAAUGGCAGAGCCCUUAGAGGUUUGCCCAAGCCAGGUAGGAUGUUAGCACCAGCCUAGCACUCAAGGAUGAGGACAGUCACAUCCACCAGCCCCCAACCCUCAGCAAUGAGUACUCAUUCUAGGUCCUGAUAGCUGCCUUACUUUGGCCCCCAGAUCACAAGUCCCUUUAAAGGAAAGCUGAUCUCCUCGUCCACUGUAGCUUGUGCUUUCUUUUGUCCAAGGUGCCACCCACAGGCUCUGAACAUUCAUCCUAGUUUGCUUGCUCCCGCAUCCCGAGCAGCAUUUGAGUCUUAUGUUUGAAAUGGGUUCAUUUGAGCCAGCAACUCCCUGCUUCCCUUUUGUGCCUCGUGCACUUGGAGUGUCCACUGUCCUUUACCUGUAUCCCAAGGCUCCUUCUCUGAGACUUCCCAGCUCUCCUGUUAUUUCCCACCUCAUGCUUUUCUUUGCAGCUGAACCUUAUUCACAGUGAAAUCAGUAAUUUAGCCGGCUUUGAGGUGGAGGCCAUAAUCAAUCCUACCAAUGCUGACAUUGACCUUAAAGAUGACCUAGGAAACACGCUGGAGAAGAAAGGUGGCAAGGAGUUUGUGGAAGCUGUCCUGGAACUCCGGAAAAAGAACGGGCCCUUGGAAGUAGCUGGAGCUGCUGUCAGCGCAGGCCACGGCCUGCCUGCCAAGUUUGUGAUCCACUGUAAUAGUCCAGUCUGGGGUGCAGACAAGUGUGAAGAACUUCUGGAAAAGACAGUGAAAAACUGCUUGGCCCUGGCUGAUGAUAAGAAGCUGAAAUCCAUUGCAUUUCCAUCCAUCGGCAGUGGCAGGAACGGUUUUCCAAAGCAGACAGCAGCUCAGCUGAUUCUGAAGGCCAUCUCCAGUUACUUCGUGUCCACAAUGUCCUCUUCCAUCAAAACGGUGUACUUCGUGCUUUUUGACAGCGAGAGUAUAGGCAUCUAUGUGCAGGAAAUGGCCAAGCUGGACGCCAACUAGGCUGAGCAACGACAGAACCAACUGCACCAUGUACCCCACCUCCAGUUUAAAAGAAAAAAAAAAUCCCCUUCACUCCUACUGGGAGGUGGGACCCCUUUCAUUUUCAGUUUUGCUCAUCUAGGGAAAAUAAGGCUUUGGUUUCCAGUUUAAUUGUUUUUGACCUUCUAAAAUGUUUUUAUGUUAGCACUGAUAGUUGGCAUUACUGUUGUUAAGCACUGUGUUCCAGACCGUGUCUGACUUAGUGUAAUCUAGGAGAUUUUAUAGUUUUAUUUUAAUGAAACCCUGAUUGACGCACAGCAGUGGAGAGAACAGCGUCUUUUACCUGUCACUGAAGCCAGGAAGCCCCGUUUGUAACCGUGUGUUGUGGUGCUUUAUCGUACACCCAGUGGCGUUCUUUUUACUCUAAUGUUCUUUUUGUUUCCACCCUCAGAAGAAUCAUGAAUUUGCAACAGACCUAAUUUUUGGUUACUUUUUGUCUUAUUGAUGGAUUUGAAAAUGAAAGAUUUAAUAAGGCAAAGCAGAAUCUGUUGUCCUUAAUUAUAUUUGCAAUUUGGAAUUUGUGUGAGUUGAUUUAGUAAAAUGUUAAACUGUU
RNAcentral lists this small RNA (10957 nucleotides) under Pongo abelii (Sumatran orangutan). RNAcentral describes it as "processed transcript". Lineage: Eukaryota; Metazoa; Chordata; Mammalia; Primates; Hominidae. The record is from RNAcentral.